CCUACGGGCGGCAGCAGUGAGGAAUAUUGGUCAAUGGACGAGAGUCUGAACCAGCCAAGUAGCGUGAAGGAUGACUGCCCUAUGGGUUGUAAACUUCUUUUAUAUGGGAAUAAAACGUUCCACGUGUGGGAUUUUGUAUGUACCAUAUGAAUAAGGAUCGGCUAACUCCGUGCCAGCAGCCGCGGUAAUACGGAGGAUCCGAGCGUUAUCCGGAUUUAUUGGGUUUAAAGGGAGCGUAGGUGGAUUGUUAAGUCAGUUGUGAAAGUUUGCGGCGCAACCGUAAAAUUGCAGUUGAAACUGGCAGUCUUGAGUACAGUAGAGGUGGGCGGAAUUCGUGGUGUAGCGGUGAAAUGCUUAGAUAUCACGAAGAACUCCGAUUGCGAAGGCAGUUCACUGGACUGCAACUGACACUGAGGCUCGAAAGUGUGGGUAUCAAACAGGAUUAGAUACCCCUGUAGUC
RNAcentral lists this ribosomal RNA (460 nucleotides) under uncultured bacterium. RNAcentral describes it as "partial 16S ribosomal RNA". It matches the Rfam family "Bacterial small subunit ribosomal RNA", at positions 338 to 795 of the family's 1533-position model. The record is from RNAcentral.